GUAAUUGCAAUAUAAUAUUUUACAAAAAUUAUACGUUAUGGUGUAAUUAUUAUACAUUUUAGCCUAUGUAUUUAUAGCGGUGAAAUUAAUUCCAUUAUUCAUGUUAUAGAAUCCAUAUUGAGUUCGAAUAUCUUACAAAUAUUAUGGAAUUUUAACCAAUUUAAAUAUUUCUAAGACGUAACAUAUAUAGAUCGUCUGAAAAGUUCCUUUCGUUUUAUAAGGAAAUAAUGGAUGCACAACAUUUUCCGUUUUAUAUUAUUUUAUCGAAUUACAUAUGAUCCAUUUUGUUGUAUCAAAAUAAAGAUUACAACGUUCGACAGAUUAGGUUUUAUGUUUGUAUAAAGAUGCGUUGUUGUAAAAGACGUGUCUGGAAAAGAAAG
RNAcentral lists this unclassified non-coding RNA (380 nucleotides) under Bombus terrestris (buff-tailed bumblebee). RNAcentral's name for it is "misc RNA ENSBTSG00005029498.1". Lineage: Eukaryota; Metazoa; Arthropoda; Insecta; Hymenoptera; Apidae. The record is from RNAcentral.